Molecule: ribosomal RNA, 2903 nt
Filed under: Klebsiella quasipneumoniae
Lineage: Bacteria; Pseudomonadati; Pseudomonadota; Gammaproteobacteria; Enterobacterales; Enterobacteriaceae
Also listed under: 1 other name
Description: 23S ribosomal RNA
Rfam family: Bacterial large subunit ribosomal RNA
Source: RNAcentral
GGUUAAGCGACUAAGCGUACACGGUGGAUGCCCUGGCAGUCAGAGGCGAUGAAGGACGUGCUAAUCUGCGAAAAGCGUCGGUAAGGUGAUAUGAACCGUUAUAACCGGCGAUGUCCGAAUGGGGAAACCCAGUGCAAUUCGUUGCACUAUCGUUAACUGAAUACAUAGGUUAACGAGGCGAACCGGGGGAACUGAAACAUCUAAGUACCCCGAGGAAAAGAAAUCAACCGAGAUUCCCCCAGUAGCGGCGAGCGAACGGGGAGCAGCCCAGAGUCUGAAUCAGCUUGUGUGUUAGUGGAACGGUCUGGAAAGUCCGACGGUACAGGGUGAUAGUCCCGUACACCAAAAUGCACAGGUUGUGAACUCGAAGAGUAGGGCGGGACACGUGGUAUCCUGUCUGAAUAUGGGGGGACCAUCCUCCAAGGCUAAAUACUCCUGACUGACCGAUAGUGAACCAGUACCGUGAGGGAAAGGCGAAAAGAACCCCGGCGAGGGGAGUGAAAAAGAACCUGAAACCGUGUACGUACAAGCAGUGGGAGCACCUUUAUGGUGUGACUGCGUACCUUUUGUAUAAUGGGUCAGCGACUUAUAUUCUGUAGCAAGGUUAACCGUAUAGGGGAGCCGCAGGGAAACCGAGUCUUAACUGGGCGUUAAGUUGCAGGGUAUAGACCCGAAACCCGGUGAUCUAGCCAUGGGCAGGUUGAAGGUUGGGUAACACUAACUGGAGGACCGAACCGACUAAUGUUGAAAAAUUAGCGGAUGACUUGUGGCUGGGGGUGAAAGGCCAAUCAAACCGGGAGAUAGCUGGUUCUCCCCGAAAGCUAUUUAGGUAGCGCCUCGUGAACUCAUCUUCGGGGGUAGAGCACUGUUUCGGCUAGGGGGUCAUCCCGACUUACCAACCCGAUGCAAACUACGAAUACCGAAGAAUGUUAUCACGGGAGACACACGGCGGGUGCUAACGUCCGUCGUGAAGAGGGAAACAACCCAGACCGCCAGCUAAGGUCCCAAAGUCAUGGUUAAGUGGGAAACGAUGUGGGAAGGCACAGACAGCCAGGAUGUUGGCUUAGAAGCAGCCAUCAUUUAAAGAAAGCGUAAUAGCUCACUGGUCGAGUCGGCCUGCGCGGAAGAUGUAACGGGGCUAAACCAUGCACCGAAGCUGCGGCAGCGACACUAUGUGUUGUUGGGUAGGGGAGCGUUCUGUAAGCCUGCGAAGGUGACCUGUGAGGGUUGCUGGAGGUAUCAGAAGUGCGAAUGCUGACAUAAGUAACGAUAAAGCGGGUGAAAAGCCCGCUCGCCGGAAGACCAAGGGUUCCUGUCCAACGUUAAUCGGGGCAGGGUGAGUCGACCCCUAAGGCGAGGCCGAAAGGCGUAGUCGAUGGGAAACAGGUUAAUAUUCCUGUACUUGGUGUUACUGCGAAGGGGGGACGGAGAAGGCUAUGUUAGCCGGGCGACGGUUGUCCCGGUUUAAGCAUGUAGGCUGGUUAUCCAGGCAAAUCCGGAUAAUCAAGGCUGAGGUGUGAUGACGAGGCACUACGGUGCUGAAGUAACAAAUGCCCUGCUUCCAGGAAAAGCCUCUAAGCAUCAGGUAACAUCAAAUCGUACCCCAAACCGACACAGGUGGUCAGGUAGAGAAUACCAAGGCGCUUGAGAGAACUCGGGUGAAGGAACUAGGCAAAAUGGUGCCGUAACUUCGGGAGAAGGCACGCUGGUGUGUAGGUGAAGUCCCUGCGGAUGGAGCUGAGACCAGUCGAAGAUACCAGCUGGCUGCAACUGUUUAUUAAAAACACAGCACUGUGCAAACACGAAAGUGGACGUAUACGGUGUGACGCCUGCCCGGUGCCGGAAGGUUAAUUGAUGGGGUUAUCCGUAAGGAGAAGCUCUUGAUCGAAGCCCCGGUAAACGGCGGCCGUAACUAUAACGGUCCUAAGGUAGCGAAAUUCCUUGUCGGGUAAGUUCCGACCUGCACGAAUGGCGUAAUGAUGGCCAGGCUGUCUCCACCCGAGACUCAGUGAAAUUGAACUCGCUGUGAAGAUGCAGUGUACCCGCGGCAAGACGGAAAGACCCCGUGAACCUUUACUAUAGCUUGACACUGAACAUUGAGCCUUGAUGUGUAGGAUAGGUGGGAGGCUUUGAAGCGUGGACGCCAGUCUGCGUGGAGCCAACCUUGAAAUACCACCCUUUAAUGUUUGAUGUUCUAACGUUGGCCCCUUAUCGGGGUUGCGGACAGUGUCUGGUGGGUAGUUUGACUGGGGCGGUCUCCUCCCAAAGCGUAACGGAGGAGCACGAAGGUUAGCUAAUCCUGGUCGGACAUCAGGAGGUUAGUGCAAUGGCAUAAGCUAGCUUGACUGCGAGCGUGACGGCGCGAGCAGGUGCGAAAGCAGGUCAUAGUGAUCCGGUGGUUCUGAAUGGAAGGGCCAUCGCUCAACGGAUAAAAGGUACUCCGGGGAUAACAGGCUGAUACCGCCCAAGAGUUCAUAUCGACGGCGGUGUUUGGCACCUCGAUGUCGGCUCAUCACAUCCUGGGGCUGAAGUAGGUCCCAAGGGUAUGGCUGUUCGCCAUUUAAAGUGGUACGCGAGCUGGGUUUAGAACGUCGUGAGACAGUUCGGUCCCUAUCUGCCGUGGGCGCUGGAGAAUUGAGGGGGGCUGCUCCUAGUACGAGAGGACCGGAGUGGACGCAUCACUGGUGUUCGGGUUGUCAUGCCAAUGGCACUGCCCGGUAGCUAAAUGCGGAAGAGAUAAGUGCUGAAAGCAUCUAAGCACGAAACUUGCCCCGAGAUGAGUUCUCCCUGAGACUUUAAGUCUCCUGAAGGAACGUUAAAGACGAUGACGUUGAUAGGCCGGGUGUGUAAGCGCAGCGAUGCGUUGAGCUAACCGGUACUAAUGAACCGUGAGGCUUAACCUU